This 1784-nucleotide long non-coding RNA is filed under the name Ananas comosus (pineapple). RNAcentral's name for it is "long non-coding RNA (ACOM_LNC012528)". Lineage: Eukaryota; Viridiplantae; Streptophyta; Magnoliopsida; Poales; Bromeliaceae. The record is from RNAcentral.
UUUGAAAGUUUAUUUAUUAUACAUUUCAUCACAUUAAAGUGCUAUUUCAAAAUUUUUUAAAAAUUUAAAUAUUUUCACUAAUUCACGAUAACCUAUCUAAAAUAGAUGUUCGGUAGAGAGACAGAAGUUAAUAGAGAUGAUAUAUUCAUAAGAUAGUAAGUAUUUGUAAGAAUAUUUGUGAUGUAUAGGGAUAUUUAUGAUAUUUUGAACGUUUAGAGGGGUAUGAAUGAAAUUAACUCUUCAUUAGUAAUAGUUGGAACAUUUAGAAAGGCAAUUAUGAAAAGUGUAAAAUUGGUAUUUUGAUUGCUGUUAUGUAGAUUUUAACAAAAAUGUGUUUUAAAGGGUAUUUUUAAAAGUUUUCUAUAUUUAGAUGGGCAUUAAAGAUAUUUCAAUUUUUAUAGGGGCAUUUUUGUAAAUAAGUGCUUCUAGAGGGGCAUAUAGGAAAAUUUUCCUAUAAACUUUAUACCUAGUUAAAUUAAUUUAAAAAUUUAGGCUAAAUUACAGAAAACCCCCCUGUCAAAACCCGAUUUUUUACUUUCCCUCCCUAUCAUUUAAAAACCUACACUUUACUCCCUUAUAAAAUGAAAAAUGUGCACUUCACUUCCUACCGUUAGUGAUCCGUUAGGGUUUCGUUAUAAAAUAUUUUUUUAUGCCCAAAACACCCUUCCGCCCUCUUUCCUGUUGCUUCGCCUCCCUUCGGCUCGCCGCCUCGCCGCCUCCUCGCCGUCUCGCCCUCCUCUACUGCCUUGCCCUCGCCCUCGUCCAUAUCCCCUUCGCCUUCCUCUGCCGCCUCACCUUCGCUCUCCUUGCCCUUGCCUACCUCUCCAUCAGCGCCCACCUCGAUUUCCUCCCUACUGUCGCCGAAAUCGAGGGCUGGCGAGGGUAUAGGAGAAGAAGGGAAGCAGGUGGAGAAGAAAAUGGAGAGAAAUCGCGGCCGAUUAAGGUGUGAAUCGCGGCCGAUCGAGGCGGCGGUUGAGGAAGAUGAGAGAGGAGACGAAAAUGGUGAGUGGCAAAAUAGUCAUUUCACACACCGUAUCCUCCCGUGAAUAUUUUUUAUUUUACAAGAGGGCAAAGUGUAGGUUUUAAAUGACAAGGGGGAAAGUGAAAAAUCGGAUUUUGAUAUGAGAGUGCUAUGUAAUUUAGCCAAAGAUUUAUAUAUUUAGUAGAUAAGGAGUGUGACGGAAUAUUUAGAAUGAAAUAUAAUAUUCGAUCUUUAAAAUAUUUUUUAGAAUAAAAUAAAUCAGUAUGCAUGUGAAAUAUGUUAUUCUAAUAAAUUACGAAUAGUAAGGCCUUUAAAGAAGCAGAAAUUAAGUCCUUACUUAUAGCCAUACUAGAAAAUUUCUGUGCAUCGAAUAAGUAUCCGAUAUCCAAAUAUGACCUUACUGAUGGAUAUAAGAACAUGGUAAAAGACUUGAAUUCAAGUCUUGAACACGGCUAAAAGUAAAAAUUUUAGAAUUUAUGAUCAGAGAUACUGAUCUUACUCUAAAUAGUGAAGAGAAUUUUUUAUUAAAAUUUCAUCAGAUUUGUAUUGUUUAGCACUAUUAAAUUCACAAAAGCAUCACGUCGCCCUUUAAAAUUGUCAAUUUUGAGACCUUUUGAUCGCAAGUCAAAUAAUGUCGAAAAAUAUAAAAUUUGGUUUCUAAAUAUUUUCAAUAAUGUAGAUCAAGUUUAACGGAACUGAUUAUCGACUCAAAAGCCGCAUCAUCAAAAACAACUUGGUAGCACAGAGCUUUCCCUGCUACCAAUAAUAUAGUAGCCGGACUCUGUAAAGAAUACUACUUAUA